Molecule: ribosomal RNA, 405 nt
Filed under: uncultured bacterium
Lineage: Bacteria
Description: bacterial SSU rRNA
Rfam family: Bacterial small subunit ribosomal RNA
Source: RNAcentral
UAGGGAAUUUUGCGCAAUGGGGGAAACCCUGACGCAGCAACGCCGCGUGAUUGAUGAAGCCCUUCGGGGUGUAAAGAUCUGUCAGUGGGGACGAAACUUGACGGUACCCACAGAGGAAGCACCGGCUAACUCCGUGCCAGCAGCCGCGGUAAUACGGAGGGUGCAAGCGUUGUCCGGAAUCAUUGGGCGUAAAGAGUUCGUAGGUGGUUUAUUAAGUCUGGUGUUAAAUACCGGGGCUCAACUCCGGCAGGGCACUGGAUACUGGUAGACUUGAAUGCGGUAGAGGUAAAGGGAAUUCCUGGUGUAGCGGUGAAAUGCGUAGAUAUCAGGAGGAACAUCGGUGGCGUAAGCGCUUUACUGGGCCGUAAUUGACACUGAGGAACGAAAGCCAGGGUAGCAAAUGGG